This 468-nucleotide ribosomal RNA is filed under the name uncultured bacterium. RNAcentral describes it as "partial 16S ribosomal RNA". It matches the Rfam family "Bacterial small subunit ribosomal RNA", at positions 28 to 507 of the family's 1533-position model. The record is from RNAcentral.
GACGAACGCUGGCGGCGUGCUUAACACAUGCAAGUCGAACGGAAAGGCCCUGCUUUUGUGGGGUGCUCGAGUGGCGAACGGGUGAGUAACACGUGAGUAACCUGCCCUUGACUUUGGGAUAACUUCAGGAAACUGGGGCUAAUACCGGAUAGGAGCUCCUGCUGCAUGGUGGGGGUUGGAAAGUUUCGGCGGUUGGGGAUGGACUCGCGGCUUAUCAGCUUGUUGGUGGGGUAGUGGCUUACCAAGGCUUUGACGGGUAGCCGGCCUGAGAGGCUGACCGGCCACAUUGGGACUGAGAUACGGCCCAGACUCCUACGGGAGGCAGCAGUGGGGAAUAUUGCACAAUGGGCGGAAGCCUGAUGCAGCAACGCCGCGUGCGGGAUGACGGCCUUCGGGUUGUAAACCGCUUUCGCCUGUGACGAAGCGUGAGUGACGGUAAUGGGUAAAGAAGCACCGGCUAACUACGUG